CCUACGGGUGGCUGCAGUGGGGAAUAUUGGACAAUGGGGGGAACCCUGAUCCAGCCAUGCCGCGUGUGUGAAGAAGGCCCUCGGGUUGUAAAGCACUUUCAGUGAGGAAGAACGCCUGGUGGUUAAUACCCAUCAGGAAAGACAUCACUCACAGAAGAAGCACCGGCUAACUCCGUGCCAGCAGCCGCGGUAAUACGGAGGGUGCGAGCGUUAAUCGGAAUUACUGGGCGUAAAGCGCGCGUAGGUGGCUUGAUAAGCCGGUUGUGAAAGCCCCGGGCUCAACCUGGGAACGGCAUCCGGAACUGGCAAGCUAAGGGGCAGGAGAGGAAGGUAGAAUUUCCCGUGGAGCGGUGAAAUGCGGUGGGGUCGGGAGGGAUACCAGUGGCGAAGGCGGCCUUCUGGACUGAAACCGACCAUGAGGUUCGGAAGCGUGGGGAGGAAACAGGAUUAGAUACCCGAGUAGUC
Molecule: ribosomal RNA, 465 nt
Filed under: Vreelandella stevensii
Lineage: Bacteria; Pseudomonadati; Pseudomonadota; Gammaproteobacteria; Oceanospirillales; Halomonadaceae
Description: partial 16S ribosomal RNA
Rfam family: Bacterial small subunit ribosomal RNA
Source: RNAcentral